GACGAAGGAUGCAAGCGUUAUCCGGAUUCAUUGGGUUUAAAGGGCGCGUAGGCGGCUUGGUAAGUCAGUGGUGAAAUCUGUGGGCUUAACCCACAAACUGCCAUUGAUACUGCUGAUCUAGAGUACAGUUGCCGUUGGCGGAAUAUGACAUGUAGUGGUGAAAUACUUAGAUAUGACACAGAACUCCGAUUGCGAAGGCAGCUCACUAAACUGUAACUGACGCUGAGGCACGAAAGCGUGGGGAUCAAACAGG
This 253-nucleotide ribosomal RNA is filed under the name uncultured bacterium. RNAcentral's name for it is "partial 16S ribosomal RNA". It matches the Rfam family "Bacterial small subunit ribosomal RNA", at positions 524 to 776 of the family's 1533-position model. The record is from RNAcentral.